GGUCACUGCUAUUGGGAUUCGAUUAAGCCAUGCGAGUCGAGAGGGUUCGGCCCUCGGCGGACUGCUCAGUAACACGUGGAUAAUUUGCCCUUAGGUGGAGAAUAAUCUCGGGAAACUGAGAAUAAUACUCCAUAGAUCUAGGAUGCUGGAAUGCACUUAGAUUGAAAGCUCCGGCGCCUAAGGAUAAGUCUACGGACUAUCAGGUUGUAGUCAGGGUAAAGGCCUGACUAGCCUACAACGGAUACGGGUUGUGAGAGCAAUAACCCGGAGACGAUAUCUGAGACACGAUAUCGGGCCCUACGGGGCGCAGCAGGCGCGAAACCUUCACAAUGUGCGAAAGCGCGAUGAGGGGAUCCCAAGUGCUUGCUCGUAAGAGUAAGCUGUUUUUAUGUCUAAAAAGCAUAGAGAGUAAGGGCUGGGUAAGACGGGUGCCAGCCGCCGCGGUAAUACCUGCAGCUCAAGUAGUGAUCGCUAUUAUUGGGCCUAAAACGUUCGUAGCCGGUUUGAUAAAUGCCUGGGUAAAUAGUGUAGCUUAACUAUACGAAUUCCGGGUAGACUGUCAAACUUGAGACCGGGAGAGGCUAGAGGUACUCCUGGGGUAGAGGUGAAA
Molecule: ribosomal RNA, 610 nt
Filed under: uncultured archaeon
Lineage: Archaea
Description: bacterial SSU rRNA
Rfam family: Archaeal small subunit ribosomal RNA
Source: RNAcentral